GAUGAGCCCGCGGCCUAUCAGCUUGUUGGUGAGGUAAUGGCUCACCAAGGCUUCGACGGGUAGCCGGCCUGAGAGGGUGACCGGCCACACUGGGACUGAGACACGGCCCAGACUCCUACGGGAGGCAGCAGUGGGGAAUAUUGGACAAUGGGCGGAAGCCUGAUCCAGCAACGCCGCGUGAGGGAUGACGGCCUUCGGGUUGUAAACCUCUUUCAGCACAGACGAAGCGCAAGUGACGGUAUGUGCAGAAGAAGGACCGGCCAACUACGUGCCAGCAGCCGCGGUAAUACGUAGGGUCCGAGCGUUGUCCGGAAUUAUUGGGCGUAAAGGGCUCGUAGGCGGUUUGUCACGUCGGGAGUGAAAACCAGGUGCUUAACACCUGGCCUGCUUUCGAUACGGGCAGACUAGAGGUACUCAGGGGAGAAUGGAAUUCCUGGUGUAGCGGUGAAAUGCGCAGAUAUCAGGAGGAACACCGGUGGCGAAGGCGGUUCUCUGGGAGUAUCCUGACGCUGAGGAGCGAAAGUGUGGGGAGCGAACAGGAUUAGAUACCCUGGUAGUCCACACCGUAAACGUUGGGCGCUAGGUGUGGGAUCCAUUCCACGGGUUCCGUGCCGCAGCUAACGCAUUAAGCGCCCCCGCCUGGGGAGUACGGCCGCAGGGCUAAACUCAAAGGAAUUGAC
Molecule: ribosomal RNA, 680 nt
Filed under: uncultured bacterium
Lineage: Bacteria
Description: bacterial SSU rRNA
Rfam family: Bacterial small subunit ribosomal RNA
Source: RNAcentral